RNAcentral lists this ribosomal RNA (362 nucleotides) under uncultured bacterium. RNAcentral describes it as "bacterial SSU rRNA". It matches the Rfam family "Bacterial small subunit ribosomal RNA", at positions 149 to 507 of the family's 1533-position model. The record is from RNAcentral.
UCCUGAAACGGGGAUUAAUACCGCAUAAUAUGCCGAGGUGCAUGACUUUGGUAUUAAAGCAGCAAUGCACUUAGAGAUGAGUGUGCGUCCCACUUAGGUAGUUGGUGUGGUAACGGCUCACCAAGCCUAUGAUGGGUAGCCGGUCUGAGAGGAUGGUCGGCCACACGGGCACUGAGACACGGGCCCGACUCCUACGGGAGGCAGCAGUAAGGAAUAUUGGUCAAUGGUGGAAACACUGAACCAGCCAUGCCGCGUGGAGGAAUAAGGUCCUACGGAUUGUAAACUCCUUUUGACGAGGAAGAAAGUGUUAGAUUUAUCUAAUUUUGACGGUACUCGUAGAAUAAGCACCGGCUAACUCCGUG